AGUGAACGCUGGCGGUAGGCCUAACACAUGCAAGUCGAACGGCAGCACGGUAAGAGCUUGCUCUUACGGGUGGCGAGUGGCGGACGGGUGAGGAAUACAUAGGAAUCUACUUUUUCGUGGGGGAUAACGGAGGGAAACUUACGCUAAUACCGCAUACGACCUACGGGUGGAAGCAAGGGAUCUUCGGACCUUGCGCGAUUGGAUGAGCCGAUGUCGGAUUAGCUAGUUGGCGGGGUAAAGGCCCACCAAGGCGACGAUCCGUAGCUGGUCUGAGAGGAUGAUCAGCCACACUGGAACUGAGACACGGUCCAGACUCCUACGGGAGGCAGCAGUGGGGAAUAUUGGACAAUGGGGGCAAGCCUGAUCCAGCCAUACCGCGUGGGUGAAGAAGGCCUUCGGGUUGUAAAGCUCUUUUGUUGGGAAAGAAAAGCAGCAGGCUAAUACCCCGCGGUUCUGACGGUACCCAAAGAAUAAGCACCGGCUAACUUCGUG
This 492-nucleotide ribosomal RNA is filed under the name uncultured bacterium. Its description in RNAcentral is "partial 16S ribosomal RNA". It matches the Rfam family "Bacterial small subunit ribosomal RNA", at positions 29 to 507 of the family's 1533-position model. The record is from RNAcentral.